ACCUUGAAAUACCACCCUUUAAUGUUUGAUGUUCUAACGUGGACCCGUGAUCCGGGUUGCGGACAGUGUCUGGUGGGUAGUUUGACUGGGGCGGUCUCCUCCUAAAGAGUAACGGAGGAGCACGAAGGUUGGCUAAUCCUGGUCGGACAUCAGGAGGUUAGUGCAAUGGCAUAAGCCAGCUUGACUGCGAGCGUGACGGCGCGAGCAGGUGCGAAAGCAGGUCAUAGUGAUCCGGUGGUUCUGAAUGGAAGGGCCAUCGCUCAACGGAUAAAAGGUACUCCGGGGAUAACAGGCUGAUACCGCCCAAGAGUUCAUAUCGACGGCGGUGUUUGGCACCUCGAUGUCGGCUCAUCACAUCCUGGGGCUGAAGUAGGUCCCAAGGGUAUGGCUGUUCGCCAUUUAAAGUGGUACGCGAGCUGGGUUUAGAACGUCGUGAGACAGUUCGGUCCCUAUCUGCCGUGGGCGCUGGAGAACUGAGGGGGGCUGCUCCUAGUACGAGAGGACCGGAGUGGACGCAUCACUGGUGUUCGGGUUGUCAUGCCAAUGGCACUGCCCGGUAGCUAAAUGCGGAAGAGAUAAGUGCUGAAAGCAUCUAAGCACGAAACUUGCCC
RNAcentral lists this ribosomal RNA (611 nucleotides) under Salmonella enterica subsp. salamae serovar Sofia. RNAcentral describes it as "partial 23S ribosomal RNA". It matches the Rfam family "Bacterial large subunit ribosomal RNA", at positions 2189 to 2799 of the family's 2925-position model. The record is from RNAcentral. Lineage: Bacteria; Pseudomonadati; Pseudomonadota; Gammaproteobacteria; Enterobacterales; Enterobacteriaceae.